AGUGAACGCUGGCGGUAGGCCUAACGCAUGCAAGUCGAACGGCAGCACAGUAAGAGCUUGCUCUUACGGGUGGCGAGUGGCGGACGGGUGAGGAAUACAUCGGAAUCUACUUUUUCGUGGGGGAUAACGUAGGGAAAAUUACGCUAAUACCGCAUACGACCUACGGGUGAAAGCAGGGGAUCUUCGGACCUUGCGCGAUUGAAUGAGCCGAUGUCGGAUUAGCUAGUUGGCGGGGUAAAGGCCCACCAAGGCGACGAUCCGUAGCUGGUCUGAGAGGAUGAUCAGCCACACUGGAACUGAGACACGGUCCAGACUCCUACGGGAGGCAGCAGUGGGGAAUAUUGGACAAUGGGCGCAAGCCUGAUCCAGCCAUACCGCGUGGGUGAAGAAGGCCUUCGGGUUGUAAAGCCCUUUUGUUGGGAAAGAAAAGCAGCAGGUUAAUACCCCGCUGUUCUGACGGUACCCAAAGAAUAAGCACCGGCUAACUUCGUG
RNAcentral lists this ribosomal RNA (492 nucleotides) under uncultured bacterium. RNAcentral's name for it is "partial 16S ribosomal RNA". It matches the Rfam family "Bacterial small subunit ribosomal RNA", at positions 29 to 507 of the family's 1533-position model. The record is from RNAcentral.